This is a long non-coding RNA of Morone saxatilis (striped sea-bass), 1260 nucleotides long. RefSeq lists it as uncharacterized. The record is from RefSeq and is a predicted model, not a curated record. NCBI's taxonomy places the organism in Eukaryota, Metazoa, Chordata, Actinopteri, Moronidae. The transcript has 5 exons.
AUGAACCACAAAGUGUAAACCAAACCUGUUCUACAACCACAGGUGUGCAGCUGUAUGUGCGUCUGACUGUGGUCGUCAUGAUCAUCGUAUUAUCAGCGGCUGUGCUGAUAUUCUGCAGGAAGAGGGCCAGUAAACCCAAAGAACCUGCUGUGGAGUAUGUUAAUGUCACUGAGGCCAGGAUCAGAGAGGAGGACACACAGAGCAGAUCUCCUCCUGAAGAAAUAUCUGCAGUUUACAUUCACUGCAGCCAGUUCUCAGAAUAAGACUUCCAGUAAACUCACUUACUCUGAGCUCCAACAGUGCAGCUGCCUCGUUCAACAGCGCCCCCUGUGGUGAGGCAGAUAAUGUUAUGUGGUUAUGUUACCUGAGGUGAAGAACAUUUUAGAUUCUCAGAGUGGGUGCGUUGGUUGUUUUAUCUCAUAUUUAGGGAGAUUUCUCAGUUUUUAACAUUUUAAAUAAAUUGAUUCAGGGAUUGUACUGGACAGUUUCUCACAGCUUCAGUUCUUCUGUAAAGACAAAAAGUUCAUCCUUUUGUGUUACUUCAUUUUACAAAAAUUAUUCUUCUUCAUUACACAAUAAAAUGUUCUUCACACAUUCAUUUCAUUCACUUUUUUUCUACUGAAGCAAAAACUCUCCUGUUGUAAAAAAACAUAAGAAAGAACGCUUUGAAUAAGUUGGGCUUUAUUGAAACAGCAGAUUUAUUUACUUGUUUUUAAGAAAAAAAGACACUUAUAGAACUCAAUAAUGGACUAAACGGACAGUGAGAGGGGUUUUUUAUCAGUGUGGACACACUGUAGUCAUACAGUUUGUUUACAAUUUGUUUUUCACUCUGCUGUGGAACAAAGAAUCAAAAAGAGGAAAGGAAAGUUGAGUUUGUGGUUUCGGAGGAGGGACUCCAUCAUUUAGAGAAAUGAGGAGUUCCUAAUUUUCCAGUGAAGACAGAAGAGAUGCAGCUUGAACCCAUCAGAGCCUCCAACAUGAAGGUCUGUCACACUUUGAUCUGCGUCGUCUUCCUCUCACUGUGGGAUGGAAACACUGCCUGCCUCGGUGGUGACCCCAUCGCUUAUACAAGAACUGAAGGAGGAAACAUCAGAGCUUCGUGUCACUUUGAUUUCUCUUUGUCUGGAAGACAUAAGAUCUUCUGUAAGGGAGAAUGUGAAGAAAAAGACAUUCUCAUUGAAACAUAUGAGGACAGAGCUCAGAGAGGCAGAUACAGCAUUGAAUAUGAACACUUAAAUCCUGUACCAUCUAUUAUAUCUA